GCGGCAGGCCUAACACAUGCAAGUCGAACGGUAACAGGAAACAGCUUGCUGUUUCGCUGACGAGUGGCGGACGGGUGAGUAAUGUCUGGGAAACUGCCUGAUGGAGGGGGAUAACUACUGGAAACGGUAGCUAAUACCGCAUAACGUCGCAAGACCAAAGAGGGGGACCUUCGGGCCUCUUGCCAUCGGAUGUGCCCAGAUGGGAUUAGCUAGUAGGUGGGGUAAAGGCUCACCUAGGCGACGAUCCCUAGCUGGUCUGAGAGGAUGACAAGCCACACUGGAACUGAGACACGGUCCAGACUCCUACGGGAGGCAGCAGUGGGGAAUAUUGCACAAUGGGCGCAAGCCUGAUGCAGCCAUGCCGCGUGUAUGAAGAAGGCCUUCGGGUUGUAAAGUACUUUCAGCGGGGAGGAAGGGAGUAAAGUUAAUACCUUUGCUCAUUGACGUUACCCGCAAAAGAAGCACCGGCUAACUCCGUGCCAGCAGCCGCGGUAAUACGGAGGGUGCAAGCGUUAAUCGGAAUUACUGGGCGUAAAGCGCACGCAGGCGGUUUGUUAAGUCAGAUGUGAAAUCCCCGGGCUCAACCUGGGAACUGCAUCUGAUACUGGCAAGCUUGAGUCUCGUAGAGGGGGGUAGAAUUCCAGGUGUAGCGGUGAAAUGCGUAGAGAUCUGGAGGAAUACCGGUGGCGAAGGCGGCCCCCUGGACGAAGACUGACGCUCAGGUGCGAAAGCGUGGGGAGCAAACAGGAUUAGAUACCCUGGUAGUCCACGCCGUAAACGAUGUCGACUUGGAGGUUGUGCCCUUGAGGCGUGGCUUCCGGAGCUAACGCGUUAAGUCGACCGCCUGGGGAGUACGGCCGCAAGGUUAAAACUCAAAUGAAUUGACGGGGGCCCGCACAAGCGGUGGGGCAUGUGGUUUAAUUCGAUGCAACGCGAAGAACCUUACCUGGUCUUGACAUCCACGGAAGUUUUCAGAGAUGAGAAUGUGCCUUCGGGAACCGUGAGACAGGUGCUGCAUGGCUGUCGUCAGCUCGUGUUGUGAAAUGUUGGGUUAAGUCCCGCAACGAGCGCAACCCUUAUCCUUUGUUGCCAGCGGUCCGGCCGGGAACUCAAAGGAGACUGCCAGUGAUAAACUGGAGGAAGGUGGGGAUGACGUCAAGUCAUCAUGGCCCUUACGACCAGGGCUACACACGUGCUACAAUGGCGCAUACAAAGAGAAGCGACCUCGCGAGAGCAAGCGGACCUCAUAAAGUGCGUCGUAGUCCGGAUUGGAGUCUGCAACUCGACUCCAUGAAGUCGGAAUCGCUAGUAAUCGUGGAUCAGAAUGCCACGGUGAAUACGUUCCCGGGCCUUGUACACACCGCCCGUCACACCAUGGGAGUGGGUUGCAAAAGAAGUAGGUAGCUUAACCUUCGGGAGGGCGCUUACCACUUUGUGAUUCAUGACUGGGGUGAAGUAA
This 1459-nucleotide ribosomal RNA is filed under the name uncultured organism. Its description in RNAcentral is "SSU rRNA". It matches the Rfam family "Bacterial small subunit ribosomal RNA". The record is from RNAcentral.